Mycena rebaudengoi is the source of this 94-nucleotide non-coding RNA. The record is from the annotation of a GenBank genome assembly. NCBI's taxonomy places the organism in Eukaryota, Fungi, Basidiomycota, Agaricomycetes, Agaricales, Mycenaceae.
GGCCCGGUGGCACAGUGGUUGUGCAUCUGCAUGUAAUGAAACUCCCAUAAAGACUCUAUGCAGGCGACGCUGGUUCGACUCUAGACUCGAGCCA